GUAACCUCAGUGGAACUGUGGCUUCAUCGAGUUCCAGCUCUAGGCAGACAGCACGUCAGGAAGGCUGUAAGACAUCACAGAGACAGAUGCUUGGCUUUUUCUUGGUCUUGGAGAUUCGCUCUGAUGUUUCAAUCCCUUUUGGAGCUUCUAGAUGCUGGCUGUCUGGCCCCUCCUGUUGGUUCUCUGGCCCCUCCUGCUGGUUCUCUGAACUCCCCUCCUGGUUCUCUGCCCAUGCCUGUUGCCUCCUUGGCCCCUCCUGCUGGCCAUCUCCAGAUGCAACAGGCUCUUGGCUUACUUGUUGGCCUGUCGCCCACACCGGCAAUUCCUGACCUUGGUUGUAGUCGUGGCUGUGUUGGGUGGUUGGACACCGGGUGAUGUACUGGGUGCUGAACUUCUGGAUUUGCUCAUCAGCCUCCAGAUUAAUCUGCUCCAGCCUUCAGCAGCUCCUUCCUCUUCUCCCUCUCUCUCUCUGCCCGGGUCAUGGUGGAUGUUAGCCUCGUGUGUCCAGGGAUGGCUGGAAGGGGAGAAGAAGUAGAGUUUACAUUCAACUUAGUGGAUCUGGUAUCAACUUAAAUGUAAUG
Molecule: long non-coding RNA, 581 nt
Organism: Oncorhynchus masou masou (cherry salmon)
Lineage: Eukaryota; Metazoa; Chordata; Actinopteri; Salmoniformes; Salmonidae
Exons: 3
Source: RefSeq, a predicted model, not a curated record